AUAUCCGUUGUGGAAAAUUCAUCAUUAAGAUUUAAAAUACAAAAAAAAUAUUUUAAAUAAUGGUGUGCAUUUUUUCCCAUAAAGGACAUUGUAAUCUAUUAACAUAUACACAAAAUUUAUCAUAAGAUCAAUUGCGCUUUAGUUUAUUCUAAUUUUAUUGCUUGCAAUUUAAUAUCGAAUAAUUGCUUUUGAUUUGAUAAAGUGUUGAUAGAUUCAAAAUUAUAUGGUGCUUAAAUAUUUAUUACAAAUAUUUUAUAAUAGCAUAUUAAUUAUUAAUUUUUAUGUUUAUUUUAUAUGCACUUAUAUGAUUAACAAUGCGAAAGAUUCAGGAUACCUUCGGGACCCGUCUUGAAACACGGACCAAGGAGUCUAACAUAUUUGCAAGUUAUUGGGUAUAUUAAAUAAAACCUAAUAGCGUAAUUAACAUAACUAAAAAUAUUAUUAUAAUAAUGGGAUUAGUUUUUGGGCCUUACGUGUCCUAUUAAUUCAAUCCCGGGGCGUUCUAUACAGUUAUGUAUAAUAAUAUUUAUAUUAUUUAUACCUCUAACUAGAGCGUACCUUGA
This 563-nucleotide ribosomal RNA is filed under the name Tromodesia sp. n. 1 AT-2015. Its description in RNAcentral is "eukaryotic LSU rRNA". The record is from RNAcentral. Lineage: Eukaryota; Metazoa; Arthropoda; Insecta; Diptera; Rhinophoridae.